CUACGGGGUGCACCAGUGAGGAAUAUUGCACAAUGGGGGGAACCCUGAUGCAGCAACGCCGCGUGGAGGAUGACGCAUUUCGGUGUGUAAACUCCUUUUAUAUGUCAAGAAAAUGACGGUAGCAUAUGAAUAAGCACCGGCUAACUCCGUGCCAGCAGCCGCGGUAAUACGGAGGGUGCAAGCGUUACUCGGAAUCACUGGGCGUAAAGGACGCGUAGGCAGGUUGGAAAGUCAGGUGUGAAAUCCUACAGCUUAACUGUAGAACUGCACUUGAAACUUCUAAUCUAGAGUAUGGGAGGGGAGAUGGAAUUAGUGGUGUAGGGGUAAAAUCCGUAGAUAUCACUAGGAAUACCUAAAGCGAAGGCGAUCUCCUGGAACAUUACUGACGCUAAGGCGUGAAAGCGUGGGGAGCAAACAGGAUUAGAUACCCGCGUAGUC
Molecule: ribosomal RNA, 438 nt
Filed under: uncultured bacterium
Lineage: Bacteria
Description: partial 16S ribosomal RNA
Rfam family: Bacterial small subunit ribosomal RNA
Source: RNAcentral